AGCCCCUAGAUAUUAAUUUUUGGGGGAGGCUGCCCUAUGACUUAGUUAAAUGGCCGCGGUACUCUGACCGUGCUAAGGUAGCAUAAUCAAUUGGCUUUUAAAUGGAGUCUGGAAUGAAAGGAAAUACGGAGUAUAGCUGUCUCAUAAUCUUUAUUAUGAAUUUACUAAUUAGGUGAAAAGGCCUAAAAAAGAAAAAAGACGAGAAGACCCUUAGAGUUUACUUUUUGUUGGGGCGACACAGAGUCAAUUAGAACACUCUGAAUUUUAUGUGACGGAUUUAUCAUGUUUAAAUAAACUACCUGAGGGAUAACAGCAUAAUCUUUUUUAGGUUUGUGACCUCGAUGUUGGACUAGGAAGUCUACUAGCUAGCCGCUAGUAAGAGGGAUUCUGUUCGAAUUUUUACUCCU
RNAcentral lists this ribosomal RNA (407 nucleotides) under Philine dentiphallus. RNAcentral describes it as "partial 16S ribosomal RNA". It matches the Rfam family "Bacterial large subunit ribosomal RNA", at positions 1885 to 2596 of the family's 2925-position model. Lineage: Eukaryota; Metazoa; Mollusca; Gastropoda; Cephalaspidea; Philinidae. The record is from RNAcentral.